AAGUCGUAACAAGGUUUCCGUAGGUGAACCUGCGGAAGGAUCAUUAACACGUAUCCAACGUUAAACCCCCCGUGAACCUUCAUUGUGCUCCCCCAUUCCGUUAGGACGCGGCAAUCCCUGGUAAAUCAUCGCCGAACAGUUUUGAUUCAGGGACCUCUGCAUGGAGUGGGCAGCAGCGCGAGGCAAGUGGCCUGGCAUUCGAAAGAAUGGCGCAGUAACGAUCGCUAGAGGCCGACACGGCCGGCGACCGGGUCACUGGGCUCACGCGGCCACCAAACUCGAACAACUGUUAACAAUGGAUAUCUUGGUUCUC
This 313-nucleotide unclassified non-coding RNA is filed under the name fungal sp. RNAcentral's name for it is "partial internal transcribed spacer region". The stretch from base 1 to 46 matches the Rfam family "Eukaryotic small subunit ribosomal RNA", at positions 1786 to 1831 of the family's 1831-position model. Lineage: Eukaryota; Fungi. The record is from RNAcentral.